AGUGAACGCUGGCGGUAGGCCUAACACAUGCAAGUCGAACGGCAGCACAGUAAGAGCUUGCUCUUACGGGUGGCGAGUGUCGGACGGGUGAGGAAUACAUCGGAAUCUACUUUUUCGUGGGGGAUAACGUAGGGAAACUUACGCUAAUCCCGCAUACGACCUACGGGUGAAAGCAGGGGAUCUUCGGACCUUGCGCGAUUGAAUGAGCCGAUGUCGGAUUAGCUAGUUGGCGGGGUAAAGGCCCACCAAGGCGACGAUCCGUAGCUGGUCUGAGAGGAUGAUAAGCCACACUGGAACUGAGACAAGGUACAGACUCCGACGGGAGGCAGCAGUGGGGAAUAUUGGACAAUGGGCGCAAGCCUGAUCCAGCCAUACCGCGGGGGUGAAGAAGGCCUUCGGGUUGUAAAGCCCUUUUGUUGGGAAAGAAAAGCAGCAGGUUAAUACCCCGCUGUUCUGACGGUACCCAAAGAAUAAGCACCGGCUAACUUCGUG
Molecule: ribosomal RNA, 492 nt
Filed under: uncultured bacterium
Lineage: Bacteria
Description: partial 16S ribosomal RNA
Rfam family: Bacterial small subunit ribosomal RNA
Source: RNAcentral